Nomascus leucogenys (northern white-cheeked gibbon) is the source of this 98-nucleotide long non-coding RNA. RefSeq lists it as uncharacterized. The record is from RefSeq and is a predicted model, not a curated record. The transcript is spliced from 3 exons. Lineage: Eukaryota; Metazoa; Chordata; Mammalia; Primates; Hylobatidae.
AAUAGUCAGAAAAUAAAAGAACAUAACCAACCUGACAGAGCUGAAACACACACUACAAGGAUUUCAUAAAGCAAUCACAAGUAUUAAUAACAGAAUAG